UAGAGUUUGAUCCUGGCUCAGGACGAACGCUGGCGGCGUGCUUAACACAUGCAAGUCGAGCGAUGAAGUUUUUUCGGAAAUGGAUUAGCGGCGAACGGGUGAGGAACACGUGAAGAAUCUGCCCUCCACUUUGGGAUAACACCGGGAAACCGGUGCUAAUACUGAAUAUUGAAACAUAAGUGGCAUCACUGAGUUUUGAAAGAAUUUCGGUGGAGGAUGACUUCGCGGCCUACCAGCUAGUUGGUGAGGUAAUGGCUCACCAAGGCAACGACGGGUAGCCGGCCUGAGAGGGCGACCGGCCACACUGGGACUGAGACACGGCCCAGACUCCUACGGGAGGCAGCAGUGGGGAAUAUUGGGCAAUGGAGGAAACUCUGACCCAGCGACGCCGCGUGCGGGAUGAAGGCCUUCGGGUUGUAAACCGCUUUCAGUAGGGAAGAAGCGAAAGUGACGGUACCUACAAAAGAAGCACCGGCUAACUAUGUGCCAGCAGCCGCGGUAAUACAUAG
RNAcentral lists this ribosomal RNA (509 nucleotides) under uncultured Actinomycetes bacterium. RNAcentral's name for it is "bacterial SSU rRNA". It matches the Rfam family "Bacterial small subunit ribosomal RNA", at positions 1 to 530 of the family's 1533-position model. The record is from RNAcentral. Lineage: Bacteria; Bacillati; Actinomycetota; Actinomycetes.